CGGAGGGUGCAAGCGUUAUCCGGAUUUAUGGGUUUAAAGGGUCCGUAGGCGGAUCCGUAAGUCAGUGGUGAAAUCUCACAGCUUAACUGUGAAACUGCCAUUGAUACUGCGGGUCUUGAGUAAGGUAGAAGUGGCUGGAAUAAGUAGUGUAGUGGUGAAAUGCAUAGAUAUUACUUAGAACACCAAUUGCGAAGGCAGGCCACUAUGUCUUAACUGACGCUGAUGGACGAAAGCGUGGGGAGCGGACAGGAUUAGAUACCCUGGUAGUCCACGCCGUAAACGAUGCUAACUCGUUUUUGGGCUUUCGGGUUCAGAGACUAAGCGAAAGUGAUAAGUUAGCCACCUGGGGAGUACGUUCGCAAGAAUG
RNAcentral lists this ribosomal RNA (367 nucleotides) under uncultured organism. RNAcentral describes it as "bacterial SSU rRNA". It matches the Rfam family "Bacterial small subunit ribosomal RNA", at positions 526 to 896 of the family's 1533-position model. The record is from RNAcentral.